AGUGAACGCUGGCGGUAGGCCUAACACAUGCAAGUCGAACGGCAGCACAGUAAGAGCUUGCUCUUACGGGUGGCGAGUGGCGGACGGGUGAGGAAUACAUCGGAAUCUACUUUUUCGUGGGGGAUAACGUAGGGAAACUUACGCUAAUACCGCAUACUACCUACGGGUGAAAGCAGGGGAUCUUCGGACCUUGCGCGAUUGAAUGAGCCGAUGUCGGAUUAGCUAGUUGGCGGGGUAAAGGCCCACCAAGGCGACGAUCCGUAGCUGGUCUGAGAGGAUGAUCAGCCACAAUGGAACUGAGACACGGUCCAGACUCCUACGGGAGGCAGCAGUGGGGAAUAUUGGACAAUGGGCGCAAGCCUGAUCCAGCAAUACCGCGUGGGUGAAGAAGGCCUUCGGGUUGUAAAGCCCUUUUGUUGGGAAAGAAAAGCAGCAGGUUAAUACCCCGCUGUUCUGACGGUACCCAAAGAAUAAGCACCGGCUAACUUCGUG
This 492-nucleotide ribosomal RNA is filed under the name uncultured bacterium. RNAcentral's name for it is "partial 16S ribosomal RNA". It matches the Rfam family "Bacterial small subunit ribosomal RNA", at positions 29 to 507 of the family's 1533-position model. The record is from RNAcentral.